UUUUAUGUAGUGGUUUAGUUGAAACAAAACUGUAUCUGCAGUCUCUCCAUUUUAAACAUUUUUACAUUUGUUCCUAAGGACAUCUUUAGUAGCUAUCAUUCAGACCACUACUAGACCUUUCCUAUUACUCUCCUGUAAUGUUGGCAGGAAUGAUUGUUUUAGUCUUCCCUUCCUUCAAGAUAUAAAGCCCUACCUAAAGACAUUUAUUGGGAUGAGUUGCUAUAACUAAUUUAACUUUAAUAGGAG
This is a non-coding RNA of Pelobates cultripes (western spadefoot toad), 246 nucleotides long. NCBI's taxonomy places the organism in Eukaryota, Metazoa, Chordata, Amphibia, Anura, Pelobatidae. The record is from the annotation of a GenBank genome assembly.